UAGAAAAACACAGAUAUGGUGGUUGACACAGUCCUAAAAAAUGGAGUCAUGGAGGUAAGUACAUACUGCUCUUUGGAGAAACAUGGUUGUAAGGUGAACGAAAAACUAAGGUGUACACUAGAAGGAAACAGAGCGACAAAAUAGGAGAUGCUGAAAGAAAAAGAGAAGUUGAAAUACAGAAGAGAAGAGACGCAAUGUAAGCUUCCCAAAGAAAUGAGAAGAUGUGAUUCAAAGAACAGAUGGUAGGUUUAACAUUUGAAAUGUAGGACAACAAUUUAGCUAAAAUAGAAAGGGAAGAGGUAAGGCUGGCUCUGACUAUAUUUACACUUGUUUGUGUUUUGGGGAGAGAAAGGAAGUGGAGAACGUUCUUGCAAGAUGAUCUGUAUUUUCUCUCUAAAGCAGAGUUCAUUUGCUGAGAAUGAUGGAGAAAAUCAGCAUCUAGCUAAUCAGCUGACCAUGAGAUGCAGAGAUUAUCUGGAAUUAUCCAGAUUGGUCCAUUUAAUUACAUGAGUCCUUAAAAGUGGAAAGUGGAAGAAGAGGCAGAAGAGUGUGUCAGAGAGAUGCUGUGUGAAAAGGACUCAACCUGCCACUUGAGGCUUUGAGGCUGGAGAAAGGGGCCAUGAACCAAGGAUUGUGAGCAGCCUGUAAAAUCUGGAAAAGACAAGGCAAUACCCUUUGCUGUCUCAGGGUCAAACAUGCAACUCCUGCCUGCUUGUAUGGCCAGCUGGGUUCAAGAAGGAAGGAACCUCAUUGUUGACAGUUACCAGAUGAAUGUGCCCCUUCUGUACAGCUAAGAAAUGGAAUAGACAUUGGUAACCUUCCACAGGCCCACACAUGUGUUAUCAGCCAUACCUUAGGACAGAAGGAAUGAGUUUGCAGAAAGGAUGCCCUACAACCAUACUGAGAAUUUAGCCCUGGGGACAUCUUCCGAUAUAAUCUGGCAUAGAAGAGUGGUUAUCACACCUUUAGCAUGGGACCCUUGAGACACCUUUGCUGUGAAUAAUGGAGAAGCAAAAGGAGUUACUAAUGAAGACAAACUAAACCUGAGAACAGAGAGAGCCUAACUAUGUGCUCCAGAAGUGCCAUGUGUGUCUAAGGUAGGUCCAAAGGUAUGAGUCUAGAGAUAUUAUGUAUAAAACACCUAAUUGAAUGUCAAAAAAUCCAUAGAAGCUUAAUAAUUGGUAGCAAUUAUUAUUACUCAUUAGUGUGGGGGCUGGGAAGAUGACAACAGAGUAUAACUUGGAGGGUUGGUGUAGAGCAAUUAGCUAGCAACUGUAGUUUGAAUUUCCAUGAAGUAGUUCCCUUAAUUGUGUACACACAAACACAUCAAAACUGAAACCACAGCUAUGUGAUUUAAUAAUGUUGCACGUUUAGACAUGAUACAAGGCACUUUUGCCUACAUUAUCUUUCUGUGAGUUUAACAUUAGACCUGGUAUAAUUAUCCUAAAUUUACUACUAGAGAAUUUAGUUUGAAAAGUCAUGCAACUUUUCUAAAGAAUUUUUUCUGAUUUAAUAACACCAAUCAAUGAAUUAAUCAAUCAACUGUUCUGGCCAUUAAAUGUGUGAGAAAAAAAAGUCAGUGUAUUAAUUAUAAUUAUAUACCGAGACUUGGCUCUGUGUGUUUCACAAAAUAAGUAUAAAGUAUCAAAUUUGUUAUAAAUGUGUGACCCAUUAAAAGAAAAAAAAACUUGAUAGAUGUGUAUUUGGUAACAGCUUUUUAGAAAAUUUUUUGAACAUUUAUGAUGUUCAGAAAAGAACAGUGAUCAGUGUGCUAAAUUAAAUUACUUGAAUAAAUUAUGGAGAAAAAGUUCUGAUUUUUGUGCAAGGUUUGCAUUCUGGAUUGAGGUCCAGUUCUUUUUGAAGUAUCUGAAAUCAAACAUAUAUUUCCAAACCCUGAGGACUGAUUUCCUUCUGAAGACCACCCUCUCUUCUAUUUGAGGAACUCCAUAUUCCUUCUUGUAACACUACUCUGAUUCUAUAUCAAGCAAUCUUGGCCUUGUUAAGAUAAGAAAGUUGCCUUAAGCACUUUCCAAAGCUUUCCUACAUUCACUGUUGGUGGAUGGUGUCCCUACCCUACUUGUUCCCCUGCAGAACCUCAGAUUGGAGAUAUAAGGGGUGAAAUAACAGCCAAGUACCUCAGAGCUAAGUACUUUACAUAUAACUCAUUUAAUCCUCACAGCAUUGCUAUGGAACAAGUACUAUUAUUCAUCCCAGUUUACAGAUAGAAACUAAGGCAGAGAAAGGUUAAAUAAUCAAAGUUUACCUACUAGAUAACAGAGUGGGGGUAGAAACCAAGCCAUUCUGGCUUUUCCUGCUUGUAACACCAGGGUGGUAAAGGUGAAAAUUUGGGUUCAUUCUCACAGAGAAGAGGUUAUUAAGGCUCAGACUGGACAGAUAGCAUGGGAAUGAUGAGCAAGCAGGAAAUUUAAGAGUCAGAUCUUAGAAAAAUAUGACAAAGCCUAGAGACUGGCAACUGACAUGAUCUGAGAAAAGUGAGGAGGCCAGUGUUCCUUGUUUGGAAACAGGAGGAAUAAUGGGACCACUGGUUGAAAUGGAGUGCAAAUGUCUUAUAAGAAAAGGAAAAAAAUGACACCAACUUGACCCUCAAGUAUAUUUUGAGUAUAUUCUAUUUCUCUUUUCAUUAGAAGAAAUUUAAUUUGAGAAAUGAAUAGAGAAAGAAAGGGGAAAGGAGAAUGUUUCAAAGAAUAAGGUUAAAGUCAUCACAGCUUGACAGCAAUCUAAAAGUCAAAAAGUAUGCCAGAAUAGCAGGUAUUUGAGACCCACUGUUCGAAACAAUUUUAUUUUAAACACAUGUGGUUCCUUAAUGAUACUGGUAGCAUGGUGGUUGUGCAGCCCGCCUUUAGCAGGAAGUGCUGAUUUGCUUAAUUCUAUUAAGCCUAUAAGAAAGGUAAAUCUGUCUCCUGAACUUAAGGGGCCUCUGCUCUAAAGUAAGUUUGACAUUGGCCAAUAAUCACCCUGACAUUCUUGUGGCUUUGGCUGCUCUUGAAGCUGCUGAAUUGCACCAAGAGAAGAGGCUGAGUGAGAAAGCCUGGUUAUAGCAAUGGCCCAUCCUGUCAGUGCUGGGAGUGGGUACUAUACUCAAAGCAGUAUAAAUACAGAUGCUGCACAUUAUGCUCUGCUAUGCUGGCUGCCUUUGGGAUGAUUGUUGGGAAAGUUCUUGAAGCCAGUGGUGUUAGAGGGGACAGUGUGCUUCUUGAAACAAAAGAGUUGAUGGUGAGAAUGGUCUUUGAAAACUGUACUCUUUACAAAGGUGAACUCUGCAAACUGGGCCUACUGAAAGAAAUAGGGAUUCUAUUUUCAUUACUGUUUUAUCAUCAAAAUACCAUAAGGCCUGGCCCUUAGCAAAUAGUCCUUAAAUAUCUGAUACCAUUAGAAGCUUGCUUCUAUGAAGGGUGAUCACCCAUCCCAGUUUGCGUGGGACAGUCUUAGUUUACAUUAUUGUCCUUGCAUCCUGUUCAGCUGGUAUAUAUCCAAGUCUCUUAAUUUUUAUUCAAGUAUUAUUAUUAAUAGUUGUACAAAAAUAAGUCAGAAUAAGUUUGGUAGACCUCUACUUUAUUUCCAGCUUCUGUCAUUUUCUUCCUGGUAGUAGGUAUGAGACAUAUAUACAUGGAAAGAUAAUCAGCAGUAGCCUAUCUCUCUCCCUUUAAUUUUUUAAAGAACUUUCCAGAUUCAAGAAUGGACAAGGCACUCAGUUAUGAGCAACAAAUUCCUUUUGUCUUGGAGAUCAUGGAAGAAGUAUUAGAUGCUGCUCCCCUUAGUGUAACAGCCAGUUUUGUUGCAGCCUGUGGGGCCUGCAAGCUACACAAAACCACCAGGAUCCUAGAAGAGUCACUAGGAAACGUAGAGUAUUAUAGCUAGAUAAACAUCAUCACAUAUGUGUAAAAGAUAGAGACUGAACAGUCCAGUCUUAAAAUGUAUAGCAAAGUAGUUUGAAUGCUCUUGUUACAGUGAUUUUGUCAUCUACCAAUUUUAAGUGUGUAGUGAUUUAUCUAUCACAUUAUUUGGCAAUACUUUCUGAAUUUUGCAAUACAUGCAACAAUGACCUAAAAAAUGAAAGUGCAUGUUUAAUUUAAAAAUUAAAAGUAAAGCCAGGCGCAGUGGCUCACACCUGUAAUCCCAGCACUUUGGGAGGCUGAGGCGGGCGGAUUACCUGAGGUCGGGAGUUCAAGACCAGCCUGACCAACAUGGAGAAACCCUGUCUCUACUAAAAAUACAAAAUUGACUGGGCGUGGUGGUGCAUGCCUGUGGUCCCAGCUACUUGGGAGGCCGAAGCAGGAGAAUUGCUUGAACCUGGGAGGCGGAUGUUGCGGUGAGUGGAGAUCGCGCCAUUGCACUCCAGCCUGGGCAACAAGAGCAAAACUCUGUCUCAAAAAAAAAAAAAAAAA
RNAcentral lists this long non-coding RNA (4406 nucleotides) under Homo sapiens (human). RNAcentral's name for it is "HSALNT0336785". Lineage: Eukaryota; Metazoa; Chordata; Mammalia; Primates; Hominidae. The record is from RNAcentral.